This 253-nucleotide ribosomal RNA is filed under the name uncultured bacterium. Its description in RNAcentral is "partial 16S ribosomal RNA". It matches the Rfam family "Bacterial small subunit ribosomal RNA", at positions 524 to 776 of the family's 1533-position model. The record is from RNAcentral.
GACGAAGGUGGCAAGCGUUGUUCGGAAUUACUGGGCUUAAAGCGCAUGUAGGCUGCUCGUUAAGUGCCUUGUGAAAUCCCUCGGCUCAACCGAGGAAUGGCUGGGCAUACUGGCGGGCUUGAGGCAAGUAUGGGCGCGAGGAACUCUUGGUGGAGCGGUGAAAUGCGUAGAUAUCAAGAGGAACGCCGGUGGUGAAGACGUCGCGCUGGGCUUGUCCUGACGCUGAGAUGCGAAAGCCAGGGGAGCAAACGGG